Molecule: ribosomal RNA, 707 nt
Filed under: Escherichia coli
Lineage: Bacteria; Pseudomonadati; Pseudomonadota; Gammaproteobacteria; Enterobacterales; Enterobacteriaceae
Description: partial 23S ribosomal RNA
Rfam family: Bacterial large subunit ribosomal RNA
Source: RNAcentral
GGGCUAAACCAUGCACCGAAGCUGCGGCAGCGACGCUGAUGCGUUGUUGGGUAGGGGAGCGUUCUGUAAGCCUGCGAAGGUGUGCUGUGAGGCAUGCUGGAGGUAUCAGAAGUGCGAAUGCUGACAUAAGUAACGAUAAAGCGGGUGAAAAGCCCGCUCGCCGGAAGACCAAGGGUUCCUGUCCAACGUUAAUCGGGGCAGGGUGAGUCGACCCCUAAGGCGAGGCCGAAAGGCGUAGUCAAUGGGAAACAGGUUAAUAUUCCUGUACUUGGUGUUACUGCGAAGGGGGGACGGAGAAGGCUAUGUUGGCCGGGCGACGGUUGUCCCGGUUUAAGCGUGUAGGCUGGUUUUCCAGGCAAAUCCGGAAAAUCAAGGCUGAGGCGUGAUGACGAGGCACUACGGUGCUGAAGCAACAAAUGCCCUGCUUCCAGGAAAAGCCUCUAAGCAUCAGGUAACAUCAAAUCGUACCCCAAACCGACACAGGUGGUCAGGUAGAGAAUACCAAGGCGCUUGAGAGAACUCGGGUGAAGGAACUAGGCAAAAUGGUGCCGUAACUUCGGGAGAAGGCACGCUGAUAUGUAGGUGAAGUCCCUCGCGGAUGGAGCUGAAAUCAGUCGAAGAUACCAGCUGGCUGCAACUGUUUAUUAAAAACACAGCACUGUGCAAACACGAAAGUGGACGUAUACGGUGUGACGCCUGCCCGGUGC